CAGGCAGGAGGAGAAAAAGAGACUGUUUAGUUCUCCUAGAAAAACAGAAAGCAUAUCCGAGGCUGCAGCAGGCCCCCAGGCUGGCCCUGAGUUUGUACGCUCAGUUAUGGUGACUUUUCAGCAGCUGUUCAAGGAGAAGCCCAUUCCAGAGAGACAUUCCCUAAUCCCCUUGCUGCUCCUCUGGCUGGGGAACAGCUCACAGCCUGCACUUCCAAACUGGAUUUGUUACGUGCAAGGACUACAGGGCUGGAUUUGAAUCCCAAAGGCAAGGAGUGCAGAUCAGUGGCUGAGCCAGCCUGCCAAGGCUUGAUCCAGAGAAUGUGACUUUCAGAGAAAGAAACAAAUAAGUAAAUACAAACUCAAUAAAAGUUACAUAAUGUUCUCA
Molecule: long non-coding RNA, 385 nt
Organism: Cyanistes caeruleus (blue tit)
Lineage: Eukaryota; Metazoa; Chordata; Aves; Passeriformes; Paridae
Source: RefSeq, a predicted model, not a curated record